Molecule: small RNA, 775 nt
Filed under: Drosophila ananassae
Lineage: Eukaryota; Metazoa; Arthropoda; Insecta; Diptera; Drosophilidae
Description: GF26279
Source: RNAcentral
UUGAGCCAUAUGUCUGAAUCAACUCAAUCUCAUAUACAUAUAUCAUAACAAUCAUAUGACACCUAAUAAUCAUGGCUAAAAUACUGUUCUUUGUGGUUUUGGCUGUAAUGUGGUGCGUCGGGAACUCGCGAAGUAUUCCCACUCCUUCAGAGCCUAGUGCCCUGGUCAGCAAGAAAAACUCAACCCAAAAUAACACACUCGAAGAUACUGCACCGAAACUUACCCAGUUUGAUGCGCCAGCUAUAAAAUCUGUUGUUAUACAUAUUCCCAGACAACGACGACAAGAAUGGGAACCGUACCUUCCAUUUAAUUUCUUAUACACACACUCGCCCUGCGAUUUCGACGCUGCUCCGGUAGUACAUGGUUCACUGGGUGAACGUGGUUGUCUGUGGCUUUAUAGCCAGAGGUUCGCCUCCGAGGGGUUCUACCGUAUCUUCUCUCUAUUUAGGUUGGAGGGGUUCUUUUUCGGCAUGUAUAUGGAGCGGUUGUUUCGAUAUGAGUACGACAUUCACUAUUUUGAUUACGAAGAUAUUGUUAUCCAACCAAAGCCGGCGAAGUGAGCGUUCUAAACCGUUUACCUUUCUUCCAAUAAUCUUCAAAUCUUUUAUCGAAAGAAUCGAUGACAUACAUUUGGUCGUUAUGGUCUUUCCUAGGAAAAAACUUAUCGACUUAUCGACGAUUUUUUAUGGUCUUUCCUAGGAAAGGUCUUUUCGAUAAUUCACUUCCAUCCGUUGAUCAGAUGUCAACAAAUAAAGUUUCCAAUAAUAAAAAGAAA